AAUAUCAACACAGCACUUCAUUUUUCUCGGAAACUAAUAUAAUAAACCAAAUUAUUGAAAGUUGAACUGCGUCGGUUUUUUUUUCUGUGUGUGUACCCAAUGCAAACAUGCAAAUUACAAAUUUAUUUGUACGCGUCCUUCGCAAAUAAGCGCCUGGAUUUGUGGACGCACUGGCAACUGGAAGCUGGCAAAGCGUGAAACUGCUAAGCAGGCAAUUUCAGAUUCGGCGGUAACUGUAUUUGGUGAAUUAUUAAAGCAACGGGAUAAUGAGAAAGCAACAGCCAGAACGAAAGCUCCAGCGUAGCAGUAAAUCAGAAAGUGGCUUUGAGCUUGUGUGGGCUGGGGGGCAGUGGCACGCUCUGCGGCCAGAACAGAGCUUCUUAUUGACUAACAAUGGAAACGAUGCGGCAUCUUUUAAAUUUGGCCAUCCAAUAGCCAUUGCAGUAUCUCUGAAUUAUUCAAGUGCCAACAUACUCUCGAAUCGAGCAUUCAUAUGCUCGUGGAGAAGAACUUUACUUUGUGUGUGCGCGUUGAAGCUUACACGCAUACACACAUUCAUGCAUACCCGUGCAUGAUACACAGAACCACGCACUCGGUAUUCUUUUUAAUUUAUUGGGUAACCAAAAUGUUGGUCCUGGGCCGUGUGGGGUCUGUUGGGGUGGUUUGCCAGCAUUUGUACACACACAAACACACACAGACACCAGGUUCGCAAAGGAUGCCACAACACACACAAGCGUGCCAUGCCGCGUCCAAGUCCGCCCUUAGUUAACUUUUUUGUUAGUUUGCCUCAGCAUAAGGAGUACUCUGCUGUUCGCACGGCCAUUAUCCGCAUUAUUUGUUAACCUAUUUGCCCACCCGCAAUCGGAAUCGCGCAGCCUCCCCCACCACAGGACUCCAUUCUGC
This 903-nucleotide long non-coding RNA is filed under the name Drosophila guanche. Lineage: Eukaryota; Metazoa; Arthropoda; Insecta; Diptera; Drosophilidae. The record is from RNAcentral.